Molecule: long non-coding RNA, 4504 nt
Organism: Parus major (Great Tit)
Lineage: Eukaryota; Metazoa; Chordata; Aves; Passeriformes; Paridae
Exons: 3
Source: RefSeq, a predicted model, not a curated record
CAAAAAAAAAAACAACAACAAAAGACGUUCCAGAAAUGUUAAUUUCAUAUUGAAAAUUAUUUCAGUAAAAUAAAUCUCCUCAAGCACAAAUAGAUGUAAGUAAAAUUAGAUCUGAAUGCAAUUUGAUUAACAGUUGUCAGGGAAAGGGAAAAAUAAUAAGAAUGAUUUCUGCAUUUACAGAAAGUACUAAACAUAUGGACAAUGAGACAAUUCCAGUAAAUUAGCAGCCUGCUUAAUUCAUUAAGAAUUCAUCUCUUGGGUGAUUCCUGAAACUGAAAAUGUUGACAGCCUAUUACCAAAAUCUCUAAUCCUAAUGUGGAGUUGAAGGGUUUUUCUGUUAAGCUCAAUGACUCCUUAGAAUCAGAGAAAAGACAAAUGUUGGCUGCCACCCUGUAGUUUGCCAGAAUGUGUUUUUUGCUAUUAAUUUAUAAGAAUAUAAGGAAGAAUCUUAAUUUAUAAAAGGCCAUGUUGACAUCAGCCUGAUAUCUAAGUUUCUGAGUAAUGGGAUGCCAGAAAUCUAUAAUGCUUUGUCUUUGAAAAGAUUCCGUGUCUACUGCCAGAAAUGAUCACAUACAUUUCUAUUUCCUUUUUUUUAAAAAAAAAUGUAUCUGUGACAUAGCUGCAUGAUAAAAAAUUCUGAGAUUGUGCAAAAUGGGCCUUUCUGGGGAAAAAAAAAAAUAUUAGUUAUGUGAAAUACAGUUGCUUUGCUUUCUUAUUGCUACCAUCUCUAUUAAGCAGCAUUUGCCACAGCCAGAGCCACUGUACAACUAAAAAAAAAAAUCACAGUUGAGGGCUUUUUAUCCUUUUUUAAUUGAUAUCUUUCAUUGCUGAAUGUUUCAAUUUUGUCCUCAUCUAAUUCUCUAUGUUGCUAUGAAUCUUCUGGAUUGUAGCUUUGACUGUGAAUAACAGGGUAGGAGCCAACUCCUUAAUUCAAGUGCAAUUUAAUUUUCAAAUCUAUAGAUAGAGUAGUUGUCAGAAAAAAGUUUGAAAAUUAAUGUAUUUUUCUAUAAAUAAUGCAGUUCUAACUGAUAGUGUAAUCUCCCACAGUAUUAAUCUUUAAUGAUCAACUGUUUUCACAUUUCUCUAGGUCUACUCAGAAUAAAAAUUACAAAAUAGACAAACAGUAUCUGGUAUUCCCCAACUCACCUUUUGUUUAAUGUCUGACAAAUAUCUUCAGCAUAGGAAGACAUUUGGUAAAUUUAAAAACAAACAAACACACAAAAGAAACAGUAAUCCACUCAAAUCAGUAUACUGGAAUUUAAAAUCAAACAUUAGAUAGCACCUAGCACUGCAGUGUAGAUAGAAGCGUCCCUGCAUUUGCGGAAUUACUAGGUUUGAGAAACUCUAAAGAAACCAUUAGGACUUGGUGUUAGGGUAUUUUUUUCUGAAGUUAUUCAGCCCACUGGAAAGUAAUCUCCUGAAGUGAUCAGUACUUUGCUCACUUUGCUGAUUGAGUCAACCUUCCAAACAUAAACAGAAGAAAAUAAAAACCACAGACAGUUUGUAAACCUAACCCCUCCAUAAAUGAGUCAACACAUCCUCUAAGAUACAUUGACUUUCCAUCUCUUCACAUUUAUAGUAGGUACAGAUUGCAAACAGGAAAUUGUUAACUUUGUGGGAGGUGACAUCAACUAUUGAAAAAUCACUCAGACUCCAGUCCUGAGUAAUUACAAAGUACUUCAAAUGUUAAAAUAAAUGUGCAAGUAGGACAGUUGAUUUCUGCUAACCAUGUUGGUAAAUAAAUUAUGGAAGUAUACAACACAAAAGUUUUAGAUAUCAUUUUUUGAUCUUGGGAAAAUCAAGGGUAGAAAAAUGAAGGAAAAAUAUAUUCUUUGAGAACAGACCAUUGUGAGAAAAUUCUAUGUGCUGGCUUCUGUUCUUCUGAAUUCCAGGACAUUUCUAGAUCCUAUGGCAGUGAUUAAAGCCCAAAUGGUAUUUGGACAGUUGAGGACUGUGCUUUGAACAUUUUCCCAAAUUCAAAGGAUUUUACUGUGUGACUAGAAGAUAAAGCGCUUGACUUUUCAAAUCGGGCAAUACAGACUCUACCUUAGAAUACCUUUAAAUCCCUGAGAAAUGUACAUUAAUAGGGUGUGCUGGACAGUGUGCAAGUAAGAGAGAAAAGUGAAGAAAAAGAGAUAAUCAUGUGUGGACAUGAUUUUCUGAGCCUGAGAGAGUUUUCAGCCUGUCAGUGGCUGAUCUGUUCCCAGGGCAAAGUUUCUUGAGAACAGUUUUUCUCCCAAGGACUGUUCUUUGUAAAUAGGUUUUUGGUUCCCAAAGCAAUAUUAUACAGAUGUCCUGAGUGUUUUCACUUGUCCCACCAAUGGGAUGAGAGAGGUGUUGUUCCCUUUACCAAUCAUGUUAAACCUGUAUCAGAACACCUUAUAAAAGGGGCUUAAAAACCCUGAAAUAAAGGCUUCUGCCUUCUUCGGAUGAAAAACCUCUGCAGCUGUGAUUGAAUCCACUCUUCUAUUUCAUGUGCACUAGCAACAAUCAUGUACCUUGAAAAGCCUCUACACAUGACUCCUGGACAUUCAGCUUGUGCACUAAAUGCUGACAAGUGUUGCACAUGCAACACAAAUGCCAUGGCUCUGACACUUUUUAAUAAGGCAGUCCAGCCAAGUAGACCUAGUUUGGAAGAAGCAAGUGCUGCAAUACAUAGUUCUCAGCACCUUUACUUUGUUCUUGGUGUUUGCUUCCUGCCAUUCAAAUGCUCUCAUUUGGCUCACCCAGGAGAGGACCAGACAACGGGAGGGAAAGUGGAAGGAAGGAGUAUGUGGUCAAGAGUGAAGAAAGACUUUAAGGGAACUGGAACUUUCUUCAGGGACUAUCUAACCCUAUCCUGUGAUAAACAGCUGUACCUCAACAACAGAGGGAUUCCUUUGAGCUGUCAAACCGAUUAUUAUCAGUUCAAUGAAAACACCCUACUGAAGUGACUACAUGGCUUCUAACGCUCCAAAUUCCUUAUUUAGAGUUACCUAAAGUGUGUUGAAUAGGAUAGGACUUAAGAUCUUGUUCUGUGUGUUUGCUCCUUCUGCUGCAGACACAUAGUACAGAAGCAUUCUCAGCUUCAGCAAGAUUCUGUGAGAGGUUUCAGUACACAUUUAUCAGACAGUGGAAGUCUGACAGAGCACAGUACAAGCAAUUGGACUAAAAUACAACUCUCAGAAGAGGUUGCUCUACAGACCAGCUUGUCUCUGAAUCAAACCUAGAUGUUUUCCCUGUGUGUAAUGGCACUGUGUGUAUUCAGUAUAAAAGCUUAAAAUAUCUGCCAAACAUAAAUGAUAUCUGGAGAUGUGUCAGACAGGAUGCUUGACCAGAUCUGGUCAGAAACCAAAAGAAGAACACAAGGAUCCAAUCAUCAGAACUAACACAGACUUCUUUAGUUUUAAAAUACAUAUAAAAAAAUGUUUACCAGUUUCAUUGGAGCUAGACUAGCAGCUGUAAGUUACUGUUUCAUGUAAGAUUAAACGGCAUCUUUCUAGUAAAGAGAAAACACAGUUUGUUUUAGUACAAGCACUGUAAACACAGUCCACUAAUAGCAGAGAAUUCUUCACUGAUUGUGGACAUGAUUUCUUAAUCUGAGAGAAUUUCAAGCUCUCAGGGACUGGCUGUUCCCAAGGGUAAGUCUUGGGAACCUUCUCUCACUCAAGGAUUAUUUGUGUAAAUAAGGAAUUACUCUCCCAAAACAAGACACAGAUGUUCUGAGAGUGUUGUCUCUCUUGUCCCACCAAUGGGAUGAGGGAGGUGUUGUUCAUUCUACCAGUCAGGAUUACCUGACCAGAAUGGCUUAUAAAAGGGUUGACAAGACCCCACAAUAAAGGUUUUUUUCACCUCACAAAAAGUGGCUGUGUGUAUGAUUAUCUUGGAAACCUCAAAAUACUUUGUGUCCUCUAGUGACAACUGAUCAGUGCAAAUCCAAGAGGAUUUAUGUCUUCUUUGCAAAGGUAUAAAAGGGGCUAAGAUACCACUUAACGGUCCUAGCUGCUGAGCCACAAUCACUGGCAGCAGAGCUUUGAUAACAAUGUGGGUGCCAUGGGGCUGUCACUGGGGUGCACUGGAAUAUGCUAAAAAAGAAUCAGGAUGGGACCAUGGGGGUUAAAGGUGAGUGUGAUACAGGGAAGAUGAAGAGCCCCUGGUGUCGAUUAACACAAUGUACCAUAGAUCCAUCGCUCUAAUGCAUUGUCUGGCUUUUACCUCGCAGCCUGAAGCCAAAUCAAUUUCAACAGUUUGUGCUGGACAGACACCAAUUACAAAUUACCUCUUUCCUGCUGCUUAACAGGGCUACAAAAAAUGGUUUAAAAUUACUCUCUAAGACCUACCCACAUGACUUUUAGAGCAGAAACCAACGUAACUUAAAUGAUCAAAAACUGUUUCUAUUUCAAGGUGAAAUGUCUUGGAAAUUCAUGGAAAAGAAAAAUCCAUGCUAAAAUUAAUCCAGAAAUAGAAAUGUUUUCUGGUCACUGUAAGGAACUUAACUGGAUUUGCAAUCAUAAAAAAGAAUCAA